GUCAUUGAUCAGAUAGGGUUAAAGAGUUUUUAUGCGCUAUAAAGCCAAACAGUUUGUAAGACAAUAAUAUAGUGAAUUAAUAUCAGAUUUAUCCUUCUCUCUCAUUAUUUCUCUGGAACCUAUCAUUGCUCGAAAGUGAUUUAUCUUUCUAUCCCUAUUAUUUUAUACCUGAUUUAACAUUAUCAAUACUAGUUUCAACAAUAUUGUAGAUCUGAUAACCAAAGAAGGCCGGUUAUGGGUUCAAUUUUGGGUCAAGUUAAUUCUUGUCUGAAUAUCAUAACACUUGACGACGAUAAAGGUGAAGAUGACAUUGAAGAUGAAGAUCUUAUAAUUAAAAUAAUGACCGGUCAUACAAAUCAAAUUGAUGAAGUACCAAAGAAGGGUUGUAGAGGGAAAACUUAACUAUAGCUAUAUAUUGAGAUCAUUGUACAAUUUUUGCAAAAUAAAAUGACAUCGAGGCUUCUUUCCUUAGUUCAUUUGAAAAUGCCAUCAUAUUGGGGAUCUUUCAAUCAUCAAAUGCAGCCGCUUCCAUCAAAAUCUUCAUGUUUGAGGAAUUUGAAGCAUAUUAAUGCAUAAACCCUUUUAUCUUUGAUGGAAAAUAUCCACAGGAUUGUAUCUAAUGAAUGAAAUACAAAACCUAAGCUGGAGUCUAAUGUAGUCAUACCUGCUGCUGCACAGAUAGCUUUUGCUGGUCAAUGUUAUGGUAAUAGUUGGUCUUCACUUUGGCUUCCUAUUGAUCUUAUUCUUGAAGAUGCUUUGGACGGAAGGAACAUAGCAGAUUUUAGUGCCAUUGAAAUUAUUACUGGUAUGAAUCUAUCAUUGAUUUUAUAUUUAGAAAAUUGGAUAUGGUGUUAUGAUCAAUCAUGGAUCAAGAUCCAGACAAGCCGAUUCAAAAAUCACUUGUACUUCCAUUGACGAACUUUUGCACCACAUACAAGAAGUUUUUUAAGCUUGUAGUAGUAGGUUUAGAACAAUUGGCUCAUGUAUCUGGUCACAGAUAAGAAAAACCAGUUACCAUACUUGAAAAAUCUUUAAAGAUCAAAAUGUUCUUGAUUCUCUAGACCUUGAGUUUGAUGACCUGGUCAUUUAGAUGUUUUAGCAUUUCUUUAAAAUUAUAAGGUAAAACCAUCCAAUUAAUGUAAUUGAAUAAAUGGAGAUUGUUAUGACCAGGAUCAUCAAUGAAAGUGAAGAUAUUCCUCAUAUCUUCUUAGGCCUUCAUUAGACAUUAUAAUAAAGUAGAACCAGACUAUUUCUCCUAUUUCUUGGACCUUUGGGGAGAAAGUAAUUGCCAAUUGUGCUCUUACACCUUCUAAAAUUAUCAGUGAAACCAUAGUUUGAGAUUAACAAUGGGAAGAUUGCAAAACCUUCUCAAUCCAUAUAAAUAUGUGAUAAAGGCAGUGAUUUUCCAUCUAUAAGAAUUCUUGCUUCGACGAAGGGUAUUAGGUCAUCAAAUCCUGAUGAUAUGUGUAAAGCUCAAGAAGUUUUAGUUUCUAAAUCUAAAAAUGAUGAGAAUACAGAUGUUUAGAAUCUUACAAAGCUUAACAUUCAUGACAGAAGCUUCCGUAAAAUACGUCGUCCAAGGAAAAAUAGUAACAUCCAGAAUCAUAAUGAUCAUCCGAACUCUGUCAAAGUUACAGGAAGACAAAUUGAAUUUUCUACUUGAAAAGCCUUCUUUGAAAUCAUCUGGUUUUAGGCUAGAAAAUAAAUCUAAAGAAAGGAAGGAUUCUGAAGUGAAACAUGAGGCACCGGUUAGAAAAAGCAAAUUAUCUAUCCAGUUUGAUGGAAAAGUCGUAUAUUUGAAUUGUGCAGUUUGAAGUUACACCACUAAGUUCUUACUAUUCAGCUAGACCUUAAAUGUAAGUAUACUAUAUCUAUACAGGACAAAAUGAUUCUAGAUUUCUUUCUGUUGACAGAAAUUUAUCUUCCAAGGUCCCUUACAUUGGUGUCCUUAAUUAAACUAUAUGCUUCUUUAUCUUUGUUUUGUUUCUUUAGUUGUUGAUUUAUGAAGCAUAUGCCCUGAAACUAUCUUGUAAUUCAUAUUGUACAGAGCAGAAUAAAGAAUAGAAAAAUCAAUUUAAUAAA
This is a long non-coding RNA of Medicago truncatula (barrel medic), 2082 nucleotides long. RefSeq lists it as uncharacterized. Lineage: Eukaryota; Viridiplantae; Streptophyta; Magnoliopsida; Fabales; Fabaceae. The record is from RefSeq and is a predicted model, not a curated record. The transcript is spliced from 5 exons.